This 250-nucleotide ribosomal RNA is filed under the name uncultured bacterium. RNAcentral's name for it is "partial 16S ribosomal RNA". It matches the Rfam family "Bacterial small subunit ribosomal RNA", at positions 524 to 773 of the family's 1533-position model. The record is from RNAcentral.
UACGUAGGGUGCAAGCGUUGUCCGGAAUUAUUGGGCGUAAAGAGCUCGUAGGUGGCCUGUCGCGUCGGCUGUGAAAACUCGGGGCUCAACUCCGAGCUUGCAGUCGAUACGGGCAGGCUAGAGUUCGGCAGGGGAGACUGGAAUCCUGGUGUAGCGGUGAAAUGCGCAGAUAUCAGGAGGAACACCGGUGGCGAAGGCGGGUCUCUGGGCCGAUACUGACACUGGAGGAGCGAAAGCGUGGGGAGCGAAC